UGGGGAAUUUUGGACAAUGGGCGCAAGCCUGAUCCAGCCAUGCCGCGUGCGGGAAGAAGGCCUUCGGGUUGUAAACCGCUUUUGUCAGGGAAGAAAUCUUCUGAGUUAAUACCUCGGGAGGAUGACGGUACCUGAAGAAUAAGCACCGGCUAACUACGUGCCAGCAGCCGCGGUAAUACGUAGGGUGCAAGCGUUAAUCGGAAUUACUGGGCGUAAAGCGUGCGCAGGCGGUUUUGUAAGACAGAGGUGAAAUCCCCGGGCUCAACCUGGGAACUGCCUUUGUGACUGCAAGGCUUGAGUGCGGCAGAGGGGGAUGGAAUUCCGCGUGUAGCAGUGAAAUGCGUAGACAUGCGGAGGAACACCGAUGGCGAAGGCAAUCCCCUGGGCCUGCACUGACGCUCAUGCACGAAAGCGUGGGGAGCAAACAGGAUUAGAUACCCUGGUAGUCCACGCCCUAAACGAUGUCAACUGGUUGUUGGGAAGGUUCCUUCUCAGUAACGUAGCUAACGCGUGAAGUUGACCGCCUGGGGAGUACGGCCGCAAGGUUGAAACUCAAAUGAAUUGA
This 565-nucleotide ribosomal RNA is filed under the name uncultured bacterium. RNAcentral's name for it is "partial 16S ribosomal RNA". It matches the Rfam family "Bacterial small subunit ribosomal RNA", at positions 355 to 913 of the family's 1533-position model. The record is from RNAcentral.